CACCAAAGGAUGAGGAUGAAGAAGUGACUCUGAUGAGCUUGCAGCAAGCCCUAGCAGGGCAAGCCCCAGCCCCAAGGAUCUGCACCCCGCACCCGGUGGGCCCAGCGUGGGAGAGGCCGGGAGCAGCAGUGGGUACCUGUGCCCAGGAAAAGCACCUCAUAGCGCCCGUCGGCUGCAUCCACCUGGUCCACGGCAAUAGUGCCAGAGCACCCUGCCUGCCUGCUGGGCACUCACGGAGCUCAUCAAAGUGAGUCUCAAUGCCAUCCUCGCCCGGGACAGAGCAGACGAGCCGCGCCUUCAGGAAUGUGCUCCACUUGUUGACCAGGCAACAGUGACCACCGUCAUCGUUCUGGGGGGUGGGGCAAGAGGCCGGGUCAGAUCAGCUCUUGACCCCAAGCCCUGGCUGGAGCAGGGCUGAUGAAGCCAGAACUGGUGGAAGGGGCAGCCUGGUGGCUCUGCCAAUGCAUACCAGGCAAAUGCGCCCGAUGCGGGCGUACACCGCGGGGCUCUGCGGCGCCUCUGCCGACCGCUCACGGAAGAAGAAGUAAAGCUUAUCAUCAUUGCGCUCCGCACUGUCAGGAAUGAGCUCAGCAUGGAUGAACGACGGGUCUGCAGGUGGCAGGGGUCAGCUGGGUGAGCCCCUACUCUGAUGGUGCCCCUGAUGUUCUCCAACAGAAUCCCCAGCCAGGUGCAAGAACACCCCCAACUCCUCUCCAGAUAAGAAACUACCCCUGCCCCAGGUAGUCAUAGGCUAAACAUGUCCCCACUUCCCCCACAUGUGCUUCUUUACGACCUCCUUGCCGCAUCCCAGACACAUGGCCACGGAAGGGCUCCUGGGGCUGCGCUUACCGUUCAGCCACCGGGAGUUGUACUGAUCCGUGCGCAUGGCUGUCUGCUUUCCAAGUGUGCGGAAGAUGGCUGCAUCAGUGCCCAUAAAAUCGAUGUACACACCAGCAUAGAGCUCCUCAUCUGUGGGUAGGCCAGUGGGUCAGUUGGGGGGCUGCUGUUUGCUAGGGCCAGGGCACAGCUCAGAUGACUUCCAGGGCAGGGCCUUAUCUCCCCGCUCAGGCUCCCUGGGGCAUGAUCCUAUCUCCAGUGGAGUGCUGGUCAGUGUUUCACCACUGGCUCUGGGAGGGUUGGGAUUAGUAACUAUCAGCUCUGAUUAGUAGCAAUAGCCCAUUUCUGUGGUGUGAAUACUCCUGCCACAACUAAUUUCAAGCUACCAACCUGAGGUCACUGAAAGCAAAAUCAGGAAGAGCUGCCAACACCACUGUACAGUAUUUCUACCCCACAGACACAACAAAUGUAAAUCACCUCAAGAGCAUAGCUAAUAGACCAGCUGCAGUGGCUCAUGCCUAUAAUCCCAGCACUUUGGGAGGCCCAGGUGGGUGGAUCAUUUGAGGGCAGGAGCUGGAAGCCAGCCUGGCCAAGAUGGUGAAACCCUACCUAUACUAAAAUACAGAAAUUUUCUGGGCAUGGUGGCAGGUGCCUGUAAUCCCAGCUACACGGGAGGCUGAGGCAGGAGAAUUGCUUGAACCAGGGAGGCGGAGGUUGCAGUGAGCGAGAUCAUGCCACUGCACUCCAGCCUGGGCAACAGAGCAAGGCUCCAUCUUAAAAAAAAAAAAAGAGGCCGGGCAUGGUGGCUUAUGCCUCCUGUAAUCCCAGCACUUUGGGAGGCCAAGGCUGGCAGAUCAUGAGGUCAAGAGAUCGAGACCAUCCUGGCCAAUGUGGUGAAACCCUGUUUCUACUAAAAAUACAAAAAAAUUAGCUGAGCGUGGUGGUGCACGCAUGUAGUCCCAGCUACUCAGGAGGCUGAGGCAGGAAGAUCCCUUAAACCUGGGAGGCGGAAGUUGUAGUGAGCCGAGAUCGCACCACUGCACUCCAGCCUGGUGACACAGUGAGACAACCGUCUCAAAAAGCAGGAACAAAAAUAAAAAAAAAAAACACAAAAAAACAAAAAAAGAGCAUAGCUAACAAUAAAGUGUAGUGAAAGAAUUAGGAAGCAUAUGCACACCUCAGUUUACUGGGCUUUGUGCACUGCAAAUACUGCAUUUUUUACAGAAGGAAGGUUUGUGGCAACCCUGUGUCAAGCAAGUCUGUUAGCACCAUUUUUUCAACAGCAUAUGCUUACUUUGUGUCUCUGUGUCUGUGUCACAGUUUGGUAAUUCUUCUUUUUUUUUUUUUUUGAGAUGGAGUCUUGCUCUGUCACCCAGGCUAGAGUGCAGUGGCACCAUCUCAGCUCACUACAACCUCCACCUCCCAGGCUCAAGCAACUCUCUUGCCUCAGCCUCCCAAGUAGCUGGGACUACAGGUGCCCACCACUACAUCUGGCUAAUUUUUGUAUUUUUAGUAGAGACGGGGUUUCACCAUGUUGGCCAGGCUGGUCUCGAACUCCUGACCUCAGGUGAUCCACCUGCCUCGGCCUCCCAAAGGGCUGGGAUUACAGGCAUGAGCCACCGCGCCUUGCCUACAUUUUGGUGAUUCUUGCAAUAUUUCAAACUGUCUGUUAUGGUGAUCUGUGAUCAGUGAUCUUUGAUGUUACUAUUGCAAUUAUUUCGGGGCACCGUGAACCUCACCCAUAUAAAACAGUGAACUUAAUCGAUAAAUGCUGUGUGUGUUCUGACUGCUCCACUUA
This 2635-nucleotide long non-coding RNA is filed under the name Homo sapiens (human). RNAcentral describes it as "non-protein coding lnc-IFRD2-6:1". The record is from RNAcentral. Lineage: Eukaryota; Metazoa; Chordata; Mammalia; Primates; Hominidae.